Molecule: non-coding RNA, 73 nt
Organism: Furculomyces boomerangus
Lineage: Eukaryota; Fungi; Kickxellomycota; Harpellomycetes; Harpellales; Harpellaceae
Source: the annotation of a GenBank genome assembly
GCUUUGGUGGCUCAGUCGGUAGAGCGUCAGUCUCAUAAUCUGAAGGUCAUGAGUUCGAACCUCAUCCAGAGCA